CUACACAUGCAGUCGAGGGGCAGCACAAAGAUAGCUUGCUAUUUUGGUGGCGACCGGCGCACGGGUGCGUAACGCGUAUGCAAUCUACCUUAUACUGGGGUAUAGCCCGAAGAAAUUCGGAUUAAUCCCCCAUAGUACUGAUGUACCUCAUGGUAAUUCAGUUAAAGUUUCGGCGGUAUGAGAUGAGCAUGCGUCCUAUUAGCUAGAUGGUAAGGUAACGGCUUACCAUGGCUACGAUAGGUAGGGGGCCUGAGAGGGUGACCCCCCACACUGGUACUGAGACACGGACCAGACUCCUACGGGAGGCAGCAGUGAGGAAUAUUGGUCAAUGGGCGCAAGCCUGAACCAGCCAUGCCGCGUGCAGGAAGAAUGCCCUAUGGGUUGUAAACUGCUUUUAUUUAGGAAUAAACCUUUCUACGUGUAGAAAGCUGAAGGUACUGAAUGAAUAAGCACCGGCUAACUCCGUGCCAGCAGCCGCGGUAAUACGGAGGGUGCAAGCGUUAUCCGGAAUCAUUGGGUUUAAAGGGUCCGCAGGCGGGCGUAUAAGUCAGUGGUGAAAUCCUGCAGCUUAACUGCAGAGCUGCCAUUGAUACUGUACGUCUUGAAUUCGGUCGAAGUGGGCGGAAUGUGUAGUGUAGCGGUGAAAUGCAUAGAUAUUACACAGAACACCGAUAGCGAAGGCAGCUCACUAGGCCUGGAUUGACGCUCAGGGACGAAAGCGUGGGGAUUAAACAGGAUUAGAUACCCUGGUAGUCCACGCUGUAAACGAUGAUUACUCGUUUUCGGCGAUAUACUGUCGGAGACUAAGCGAAAGUGAUAAGUAAUCCACCUGGGGAGUACGAUCGCAAGGUUGAAACUCAAAGGAAUUGACGGGGGCCCGCACAAGCGGUGGAGCAUGUGGUUUAAUUCGAUGAUACGCGAGGAACCUUAUCAGGGCUUGAAAGUUAGUGAAGAAUGUGGAAACAUGUUCGUCAGCAAUGACACGAAACUAGGUGCUGCAUG
RNAcentral lists this ribosomal RNA (1002 nucleotides) under uncultured Cryomorphaceae bacterium. RNAcentral describes it as "bacterial SSU rRNA". It matches the Rfam family "Bacterial small subunit ribosomal RNA", at positions 49 to 1047 of the family's 1533-position model. The record is from RNAcentral. Lineage: Bacteria; Pseudomonadati; Bacteroidota; Flavobacteriia; Flavobacteriales; Cryomorphaceae.